AAGCGAAACCAUGCCGGGGUUGCCCGGCAUGGUCUGCCCAGCGUGGUGGCUGGGCACUGAUGAGCAGCCGA
This 71-nucleotide non-coding RNA is filed under the name Aeromonas sobria. The record is from RNAcentral. Lineage: Bacteria; Pseudomonadati; Pseudomonadota; Gammaproteobacteria; Aeromonadales; Aeromonadaceae.